Molecule: ribosomal RNA, 327 nt
Filed under: uncultured eukaryote
Lineage: Eukaryota
Description: partial 18S ribosomal RNA
Rfam family: Eukaryotic small subunit ribosomal RNA
Source: RNAcentral
CCCUUAGAUGUUCUGGGCUGCACGCGCGCUACACUGAUGCGUUCAACGAGUUUAUGACCUUGCCCGAUAGGGUUGGGUAAUCUUUUUAAAUCGCAUCGUGAUGGGGAUAGAUUAUUGCAAUUAUUAAUCUUCAACGAGGAAUUCCUAGUAAGCGCGAGUCAUCAGCUCGUGCUGAUUACGUCCCUGCCCUUUGUACACACCGCCCGUCACUCCUACCGAUUGAGUGGUUUAGUGAGGCCUCGGGACUGGCGCGCUCGAGUAGCAAUACACCUGCGCGCCGGGAACUUGGUCAAACUUGAUCAUUUAGAGGAAGUAAAAGUCGUAACA